ACAGAGGGCUCAAACGUUGUUCGGAAUCACUGGGCAUAAAGGGCGCGUAGGCGGCUCGUUAAGUCGGUUGUGAAAUCCCCCGGCUCAACCGGGGAACGGCAUCCGAUACUGGCGGGCUCGAGGACGGGAGGGGUAAGUGGAACUCCAGGUGGAACGGUGAAAUGUGUAGAUAUCUGGAGGAACACCGGUGGCGAAGGCGGCAUCCUGGACCGGCAUUGACGCUGAGGCGCGAAAGCCAGGGGAGCAAACGGGA
RNAcentral lists this ribosomal RNA (253 nucleotides) under uncultured prokaryote. RNAcentral's name for it is "partial 16S ribosomal RNA". It matches the Rfam family "Bacterial small subunit ribosomal RNA", at positions 525 to 777 of the family's 1533-position model. The record is from RNAcentral.